AUCCUCUAUUUUUCGCUACCAGUAACCAUCAUCAGAAUUAAUUCUGUCACUGUGAAGAUACCAGGAACCGAGCCGCGUAGAGGAAAGAUUUCGGUAAUUGUUUAAGAGGUCAUCCCAAAAACUAAUCUGCGUUGGCAACAUCAGAGCAUCCAUACCUGCUAAGCCGCCCGGUAAAGUCCAUUGUUCCGACUGUAAGUAUAUGAACGCUGGCGAAACUCCAUUUUACGUAAGAGUGAGCUUCAUUUUGCGGAGUUCAGCGGCAAUUCCAUUUUGGUAACGACAUUGCAAUUGUAGUGCUAUUGUCCGCGGAAGCAUAAAUGUAUUGUUAAAAGGUACGUCGUACAAUAGGUGAGUUAAAAGAGACCCAGUGACAAACAGUCAGUUCCAUCCGUUUUGACGAAGCGAUAUUCUGGAGCUAGUGAUCCGAUCUGUGGACGAUAGCAAGCAGGUCAAGGAAGUUUGGCGUUGAUGAUCCGAUUGGUGAGCAGCGAACAUUUCGGGUGGAAACGGAAACUGGAAACGUUCGCCUAAUGGCUCAUCGAAAUCAGCUGAGGUUCACUACUGAUAAGACAUCGUCAAAAUCUACUGUAACGCUGUCCCUUCCGAACCGUACAGACAGAUUGCCGGUUGGCAAUAGUGAUGAUCAUCUCAGAACAUCAGCGGAGUCAGUAGUAGAGCCGCCCACAAGGAUCCGUAAGAGGAAAUAUUCUGAUAUUUUGCCUAAUUCUCCUUCUGGAACAAGGCGCUCGAAAAGAAAACGAACGACGAAGGUCGACAACGAUUUCGUUUAUGGUUAAACAGUUUAUAUUAUUAAGUUACAGUUUUAUAGUUGAAAUUUCGAAUGAUUUAUUGAAUUCAUGAUUUGUCAGAAGGGUUUCACUAUUGAAAAAUAUCUGAAAAAUAAGAAAUAGAAAUAUUAGUAGUUACGAUUAUAAAAUAUUAAAUAGAACUUUCCAUUAGGGGAAGAAUUGUGAUGUACUGUCAAAUGACAGUUCUGAUUAUAGAAUCAGAUCAGAAAGAGACGCAAACCUUGCUAUAAAUAUAAGUGUCUCCCUUGGAGAAAGGUUUCAUGCAAUAAAAUAUUGAA
Toxorhynchites rutilus septentrionalis is the source of this 1087-nucleotide long non-coding RNA. RefSeq lists it as uncharacterized. The transcript is spliced from 3 exons. The record is from RefSeq and is a predicted model, not a curated record. NCBI's taxonomy places the organism in Eukaryota, Metazoa, Arthropoda, Insecta, Diptera, Culicidae.